This 253-nucleotide ribosomal RNA is filed under the name uncultured bacterium. Its description in RNAcentral is "partial 16S ribosomal RNA". It matches the Rfam family "Bacterial small subunit ribosomal RNA", at positions 524 to 776 of the family's 1533-position model. The record is from RNAcentral.
UACGGAGGGUGCAAGCGUUGUCCGGAAUCACUGGGCGUAAAGGGCGCGUAGGCGGCUCAUGAAGUCUGUGGUGAAAGUCCGGGGCUCAACCUCGGAUCGGCCGUGGCGACUCGUGGGCUGGAGCACUGUAGAGGCGGGUGGAAUUCCGGGUGUAGCGGUGGAAUGCGUAGAGAUCCGGAGGAACACCAGUGGCGAAGGCGGCCCGCUGGGCAGUGGCUGACGCUGAGGCGCGAAAGCGUGGGGAGCAAACAGG